UGCCAGCCGCCGCGGUAAUACGGAGGGUGCGAGCGUUAAUCGGAAUUACUGGGCGUAAAGCGCACGCAGGCGGUUUGUUAAGCUAGAUGUGAAAGCCCCGGGCUCAACCUGGGAUGGUCAUUUAGAACUGGCAGACUAGAGUCUUGGAGAGGGGAGUGGAAUUCCAGGUGUAGCGGUGAAAUGCGUAGAUAUUUGAAGGAACACCAAUGGCGAAGGCAGCUAUCUGGAAUAAUACUGACGCUGAGGUACGAAAGCGUGGGGAGCAAACAGGAUUAGAUA
This 279-nucleotide ribosomal RNA is filed under the name uncultured bacterium. Its description in RNAcentral is "partial 16S ribosomal RNA". It matches the Rfam family "Bacterial small subunit ribosomal RNA", at positions 506 to 784 of the family's 1533-position model. The record is from RNAcentral.